Molecule: ribosomal RNA, 253 nt
Filed under: uncultured bacterium
Lineage: Bacteria
Description: partial 16S ribosomal RNA
Rfam family: Bacterial small subunit ribosomal RNA
Source: RNAcentral
UACGUAGGGGGCUAGCGUUGUCCGGAUUUAUUGGGCGUAAAGAGCGUGUAGGCGGCCAGGUAGGUCUGGUGUGAAAACUCGAGGCUUAACCUCGAGAUGUCAUCGGAAACCAUCUGGCUAGAGUCCGGAAGAGGAGAGUGGAAUUCCUGGUGUAGCGGUGAAAUUCGUAGAUAUUGGGAAGAACACCAGUGGCGAAGGCGGCUACCUGGCUUGGUACUGACGCUCAGGUGCGAAAGCGUGGGGAGCGAACAGG